UCACUUUCAACAACGGAUCUCUUGGCUCUCGCAUCGAUGAAGAACGUAGCGAAGUGCGAUAAGUAAUGUGAAGUGCAGAAUUCCGUGAAUCAUCGAAUCUUUGAACGCAAAUUGCACUCUCUGGUAACCCGGGGAGUAUGCCUGUUUGAGGGUCAGUG
Molecule: ribosomal RNA, 158 nt
Filed under: Rhizophagus intraradices
Lineage: Eukaryota; Fungi; Glomeromycota; Glomeromycetes; Glomerales; Glomeraceae
Description: 5.8S ribosomal RNA
Rfam family: 5.8S ribosomal RNA
About the family: 5.8S ribosomal RNA (5.8S rRNA) is a component of the large subunit of the eukaryotic ribosome.
Source: RNAcentral